Molecule: ribosomal RNA, 381 nt
Filed under: Triticum aestivum (bread wheat)
Lineage: Eukaryota; Viridiplantae; Streptophyta; Magnoliopsida; Poales; Poaceae
Description: partial small subunit ribosomal RNA
Source: RNAcentral
AUGGGUCGUCAUGAUGGCAUCAACGUCCCCGAUGACAAGUUCUACCUAGGACAUGUUGGCUAUUCAUGCCAGCCAUGUGUUCUUCCACCCUUCAGAAAAACCAAGUAUCAUCUGAACGAGUUCUCUGGUAGGAACUAUCCCAGGAAUCCUCAAGAACUAUUCAAUCUCGGACACUCCAUCCUUAGAGUAAUGGUUAAGAGAUAAUUUGGAGCUGUGAAGAAUAGAUUUAAGAUUCUGGGUCAAAAGUCAUUCCACCCUUACCCUAUUCAGGUCAAGCUUGUUCUUGCAUGUUGCAUCAUUCACAACUGGAUCCUGAAAUGGGGAGUUGACGAACUUGUGCUGGAGGAGGAAGAUGUGACUCCUGAUGAGGUGAUCUUGUAA